CGUAGGCGUUGAGGGUGCGCUGACACAGAGCGGAGCGCACGCAAUCCUGCUUGCCAAAGCGCACCACGCCGACCAUUUCAUCCUCUUCAAAACGGUUCAGGGCAUCGCUAAGGCCUGACGGCACGCCUGCGGGUAAAUCGCACUGCGUGAUAUCGCCAUUGACGAUGACCGUGACAUUUUCCCCGAGGCGAGUC
Molecule: non-coding RNA, 194 nt
Organism: Cedecea davisae DSM 4568
Lineage: Bacteria; Pseudomonadati; Pseudomonadota; Gammaproteobacteria; Enterobacterales; Enterobacteriaceae
Source: Rfam